GAUGAACGCUGGCGGCGUGCCUAAUACAUGCAAGUCGAGCGAACAGAUGAGGAGCUUGCUCCUCUGACGUUAGCGGCGGACGGGUGAGUAACACGUGGAUAACCUACCUAUAAGACUGGGAUAACUUCGGGAAACCGGAGCUAAUACCGGAUAAUAUAUUGAACCGCAUGGUUCAAUAGUGAAAGACGGUUUUGCUGUCACUUAUAGAUGGAUCCGCGCCGCAUUAGUUAGUUGGUAAGGUAACGGCUUACCAAGGCAACGAUGCGUAGCCGACCUGAGAGGGUGAUCGGCCACACUGGAACUGAGACACGGUCCAGACUCCUACGGGAGGCAGCAGUAGGGAAUCUUCCGCAAAGGGCGAAAGCCUGACGGAGCAACGCCGCGUGAGUGAUGAAGGUCUUCGGAUCGUAAAACUCUGUUAUUAGGGAAGAACAAAUGUGUAAGUAACUAUGCACGUCUUGACGGUACCUAAUCAGAAAGCCACGGCUAACUACGUG
RNAcentral lists this ribosomal RNA (497 nucleotides) under uncultured bacterium. Its description in RNAcentral is "partial 16S ribosomal RNA". It matches the Rfam family "Bacterial small subunit ribosomal RNA", at positions 28 to 507 of the family's 1533-position model. The record is from RNAcentral.